ACGCACGCUGGCGGCGUGCUUAACACAUGCAAGUCGAACGAUGACGACCGAGCUUGCUCGGUCUGAUUAGUGGCGAACGGGUGAGUAACACGUGAGCAACCUGCCCUUCACUCUGGGAUAACCUCGGGAAAUCGGGGCUAAUACCGGAUAUGAGCUCCUGUCGCAUGGCGGGUGUUGGAAAGUUUUUCGGUGAAGGAUGGGCUCGCGGCCUAUCAGUUUGUUGGUGAGGUAGUGGCUCACCAAGGCGAUGACGGGUAGCCGGCCUGAGAGGGCGACCGGCCACACUGGGACUGAGACACGGCCCAGACUCCUACGGGAGGCAGCAGUGGGGAAUAUUGCACAAUGGGCGAAAGCCUGAUGCAGCGACGCCGCGUGAGGGAUGACGGCCUUCGGGUUGUAAACCUCUUUCAGCAGGGAAGAAGCGAAAGUGACGGUACCUGCAGAAGAAGCGCCGGCUAACUACGUG
This 466-nucleotide ribosomal RNA is filed under the name uncultured bacterium. Its description in RNAcentral is "partial 16S ribosomal RNA". It matches the Rfam family "Bacterial small subunit ribosomal RNA", at positions 29 to 507 of the family's 1533-position model. The record is from RNAcentral.